GGGUAUGGCAGCCAUGUAACAGGGAAAGGGCCACUGAUGGACAACUAGUAAAUCCCACCAAGUCGCUGAUCACGGGGAACCUAAUUUCCAGCAGGCUCCAGACUAGACUACAAGGUGGGAAGCUGGCUGAGGAGGGGACUCUGUGCCGCUAUGGGGAAGCAAUCAUCUGUGCUGAGUUCUUGCUUCCAGGUUCCCAGCUUGAAUUCCUGCCCUAGUUCUCAGCGAUGGACCACGGAGGUAUAAGCCCUUUCCUCCCCAGGUUGCUUUUGGCUGUGAUGUUUUAUCACAGCAAUAGAAGGAAAACGAUGACACCCAUGUUCUGUAAGUGAGACCAAUAAACUCAUUGGUUCUCCAAGCUGGACUUGAUGGAAGACACUUUGGUUGGUCAUUGGCGCCUUAAGGGUGGCUUAGACAUUUGUUCAAAUGUUCCUGCAACACCCUGUUACAAAAUAAGCAAGCAAACAAACAUAUUAAUCACCCACAACCAUGAAGAUGCUCACAACACUAUGAAUGACAAAAAACAAUAAUAGCAUGAACCUGACAGGGUCUUCUGAACCCCAACCGAGCAGCAGACAACCUUGGCCCAACACGGUGAUAUAGACAAGGCCAGGUACACUAUCCCUAGCUGCCGCCGUUUAUGUUCCAGAAUAAAGCGAUGCUGGAGUCGCAACCCACAUUUUUCCAUGCUGCAUUCCGCGAAAACAGAGACAGAAACUGUGGCUGAAGCAAGCAGCAUGUGGACCCAUUGGAAGUGUUGCCAGCUGAAGGCCCCUGCAGGGGCUUUAUCAGCAGGGAGACUGUGAGGAUAAUUCUGCUGCCCGGGUACCACCCUACUCACCAGCUGAGAAGAACCGUUUUCUAUUCUCAAAUGUUUGCGGGAGUCAGUGUAACAGUGGCUAUAAAACUGCUUCAAAGACAGUGAAGUACCACAGGAAACGUGGCCAUUAUUUUAUCUCUCUGCUCAGUGUCCGUUUCAAUACAGAAUGGAUAACAAGAUGUCUGUCUUCUGGGAUUGUCAUAAGGAUCUGCUAAGA
This is a non-coding RNA of Myodes glareolus (Bank vole), 1034 nucleotides long. NCBI's taxonomy places the organism in Eukaryota, Metazoa, Chordata, Mammalia, Rodentia, Cricetidae. The record is from RefSeq and is a predicted model, not a curated record.